CUACGGGAUGCUCCAGUGGGGAAUAUUGGACAAUGGGGGGAACCCUGAUGCAGCAACGCCGCGUGGAGGAUGACGCAUUUCGGUGUGUAAACUCCUUUUAUAUGUCAAGAAAAUGACGGUAGCAUAUGAAUAAGUACCGGCUAACUCCGUGCCAGCAGCCGCGGUAAUACGGAGGGUGCAAGCGUUACUCGGAAUCACUGGGCGUAAAGGACGCGUAGGCGGGUUGGAAAGUCAGGUGUGAAAUCCUACAGCUUAACUGUAGAACUGCACUUGAAACUUCUAAUCUAGAGUAUGGGAGGGGGAGAUGGAAUUAGUGGUGUAGGGGUAAAAUCCGUAGAUAUCACUAGGAAUACCUAAAGCGAAGGCGAUCUCCUGGAACAUUACUGACGCUAAGGCGUGAAAGCGUGGGGAGCAAACAGGAUUAGAUACCCGGGUAGUC
Molecule: ribosomal RNA, 439 nt
Filed under: uncultured bacterium
Lineage: Bacteria
Description: partial 16S ribosomal RNA
Rfam family: Bacterial small subunit ribosomal RNA
Source: RNAcentral